AACAAACAGGGAAUUGAUAUUACUUAUUUUCAAAUGCUUUAUAUAUGUAGUUGAUAUAACGUUAAAGUGUUUUUACAUUGUGCGGUUUGGUGAAAAAGGUUGUAUGCAUGAAGGUUGGACUUGGCUGACUUGGUGCUUCCGUCAAGUCUGUGUUCUACAGCUGGGAAAUACACUUCAGGCAACUCGAAAGCGGACUGUACAGUGAAGCACCCACCCACUGACCCACCCAUGCAAGCAAGCCGUGCGCUGCUGGUACGCACCCACUGACCGACUGACCGACUGACCAACUGACCGAUCGAGCCCCUCACACACCCAACCAGGAGGAGGUUCCGUUUCAGCGCGAGUCUGCUCACCGAGGCCUUGUUUCCCAGGGAAACGGUGUGGCCAGUUAUCACACAGCCAGCACCAGGACGAUCCACAAGGCUGUACCACUGACCGCUAAGACCCCCCCUCCCCCAGUCUGUCCCCCCCAAUCCACCCCCCCCGACCCUCUCCAGGUCCGUGUGCUGUUUCCCAGAAGAAGCAGAAUGAGAGGAGAGCACAUUUCCUUUAUUGGAGAAAUAAUCACAGCUUUGAUUGCGAACAGAAUUGGAGUCUCAGCAUUUUACUUAACUGCAGGAGAGCAUGAGCUGCAGUCCUGGGACAGACUGUGGGUGGUGGGGUGGGGUGAGGUGAGGUGGGGUGGGGUGUCUGCUCUUCUGCUCCCUCCACCCCGGGGUUCGGGUGGUGAGGUGAGGGUGACAGGAAGCAAACGGGGGGGGGGCCUGGUUCGCUUGUCCUGAUUACGGCUGGUAGAGCUGGUGUGAAAGGCUCAGCCUGCAGCUGCUGCAGCUCUUGCGGUCUGUAAUGGACCUGGCUGCUUCCUGUUAUAGAGUAUUGAUCGGACCGGAGUGGGGAGGGCGGUUUUCAUUGCAAUCUCUGUUUGGCAGAAAGACACACUCCACACCCAGAAAUACAUGCAAGUCAGUACUAUGUAUGGAGAGAGAUAGGCUAUGU
Molecule: long non-coding RNA, 996 nt
Organism: Anguilla rostrata (American eel)
Lineage: Eukaryota; Metazoa; Chordata; Actinopteri; Anguilliformes; Anguillidae
Exons: 2
Source: RefSeq, a predicted model, not a curated record